AGUGAACGCUGGCGGUAGGCCUAACACAUGCAAGUCGAACGGCAGCACAGUAAGAGCUUGCUCUUACGGGUGGCGAGUGGCGGACGGGUGAGGAAUACAUCGGAAUCUACUUUUUCGUGGGGUAUAACGUAGGGAAACUUACGCUAAUACCGCAUACGACCUACGGGUGAAAGCAGGGGAUCUUCGGACCUUGCGCGAUUGAAUGAGCCGAUGUCGGAUUAGCUAGUUGGCGGGGGAAAGGCCCACCAAGGCGACGAUCCGUAGCUGGUCUGAGAGGAUGAUCAGCCACACUGGAACUGAGACACGGUCCAGACUCCUACGGGAGGCAGCAGUGGGGAAUAUUGGACAAUGGGCGCAAGCCUGAUCCAGCCAUACCGCGUGGGUGAAGAAGGCCUUCGGGUUGUAAAGCCCUUUUGUUGGGAAAGAAAAGCAGCAGGUUAAUACCCCGCUGUUCUGACGGUACCCAAAGAAUAAGCACCGGCUAACUUCGUG
RNAcentral lists this ribosomal RNA (492 nucleotides) under uncultured bacterium. Its description in RNAcentral is "partial 16S ribosomal RNA". It matches the Rfam family "Bacterial small subunit ribosomal RNA", at positions 29 to 507 of the family's 1533-position model. The record is from RNAcentral.